This 392-nucleotide ribosomal RNA is filed under the name uncultured bacterium. Its description in RNAcentral is "partial 16S ribosomal RNA". It matches the Rfam family "Bacterial small subunit ribosomal RNA", at positions 523 to 918 of the family's 1533-position model. The record is from RNAcentral.
AUACGGAGGAUCCGAGCGUUAUCCGGAUUUAUUGGGUUUAAAGGGUGCGCAGGCGGCCAUUUAAGUCAGCGGUUAAAUCGUGGGGCUCAACCCCAUUCUGCCGUUGACACUGGGUGGCUUGAUUGCGGUCGAGGUUGGCGGAAUUCGUUGUGUAGCGGUGAAAUGCAUAGAUAUGACGAAGAACACCGAUUGCGUAGGCAGCUGACCAGACCGCAUAUGACGCUCAUGCACGAAAGUGCGGGGAUCGAACAGGAUUAGAUACCCUGGUAGUCCGCACAGUAAACGAUGAAUACUUGUUUUCGGCGAUAUAAUGUCGGAGGCAAAGCGAAAGCGAUAAGUAUUCCACCUGGGGAGUACGCCGGCAACGGUGAAACUCAAAGGAAUUGGCGGGG